GAGGCAACGGAGGCGGGCGAGGGCGUGCAGCGGGAGGGGGGAGGGGUAGCAGGGCGGCUCGUACGUCGAGUCGAGUCGACGAGCAGAUAGCGAGCGCGAGGGGUCGGGCCGGGACGGGACGGGCAUACAUACAUAUAUAGUGGAGAGUGCCGAGGACAUUUUCGAUGUCAACAUGGAUGGACAGACAGACAGUCUCACAGAUGCUGUGUGUGUGCAGGAGAUGAGACGGACAUGCAACCAUGCACCAUGCUCGACCACUAGCUCCAACCAGCCCGCUACCUGAGCUAGUACCUCGCGGGCUACCACCUGCCGUUGCCGCCCUGCUAGCCCGCCUCGUUCAGCCUGGUCGACGGCGGGCGCGGCCGCAGCCGCAGGUGCCGCGUCAGCGAGUCGGCCUGCCGCAGCCGCCUCUGCCACGAGUCGUGCCGGCUGCACCGGUCGGACAGCGCGUUCAGGUCGAAGCCCUUCGCGAGGCGCAGCCCGCCGUCGCCGCGGCCGCCCUUGUCGGUGCCCGCGUCGGUGUAGGCGUUCAGGGCGUCGCGCGUCGACUUCGACCUGUACCUCCUGGAGCAGUCGUCGCCGCGGCGCGAGUCGGCGCGGAGGUCGCGGUCGGAGCCGAAGAGGAAGUGGAAGUGGCCGAAGUGGGGCGGCGGGGUCCUGUACUACAGGAGGCGGCUCGAGCGCGGGAAGUCGCUGCUGCUGCAGCUGGAGCUCCGGCGGCUGUGGUGCGCGGCGUUCUCGGAGUACCGUCUCGGGUGGGACGGGUAUAUGGAGUUCAAACGCCUCCACUUCAUGUCCCACCGCCACUUCCCCUGCGGCUCCCUCUAUGACUCGCCCUAUAGCCCCAGCCGCUCGGGGCCGCUCCACGACCGCUACUACCCGGGGAGGCCGUCGCCGUUCUGGUGCGACGAGUCGUACGAGCCGCCGUCCCGGUGGCGGCGGCUGCCGACGUAGAGGAUGUUGCUGCUCGGGAAGCCGUUCAGGGAGUUCGCGUCCUAACCUAAACACUGAGUUCUACUACAAGAGAAAUGAGUAGAAUGACACUUCCUCUGUGAUUGUAUGCGUCGUAAUGAAGCAGAGGGUUCUUGUUACUGUUCCCUCGUUUUCUUUCUUGCCCGUUACCUGUAGUAUAUACUUGACCCGGAGCUCUCCACGGUCCUGUGAUACUAACCUCCUAGAAAACACGCACCCCAAAGUCCCCCACUUUCCUUUUCUCAAACGUAGCCGUUACUCUAAUAUUAGUUAGGUAGAAACGAAAAGGAACUACUCGGCUGUAGGCCCAACCUAAGUUGAUGUCGUGAAUCCUAUCAAGUUGAAGAUGUACUGUAACGACUCUGACCCUUCUGUCACUAGUGGUGCUAGGUAGUUGGUAGGUCGUCCGACAAAGUAUUCAAACUGUUCGAAUAGGAGGACCCGUCUCCUUCAAACGAGAUGAAACCCUUCUGUCGACUUCGGUACGGGAUGAAAAGUAGGUAACCUACGUUGGGCGAGUAGCGUUACUUGGGUCGUCUCAAAGAUGACCUAGAACGGUUACCGUUGUGAUUACUACAAAGACAAGGAAGGCUUAAUCUACUGUUCCACGUGUACCUUUUAGUCUUAGACGUCCUAUGAUUAAGGUUCUAAUUGAAUUCCGGUAGUCGUGUUCUACAAGUACUCAUGGAACAACUACGAAUACUCGUAGCUCACCGUAUAUUCCUCUUCUUCUUCGAAGAUCGUGGUGAAGGCUAGUCACUACUAUACUUCCGUUGUUAUUGUAGAAGCUUUGCUCUCACCCCGUGUUUGACCACGGUCGUCAUAAGGUAGGAGAAGACAUCUCCAGAGUUCCUUUCUGCCGUACUAAUAAACUCGACCUACUCUUAGUGGGUCCAGUAUCGAUGUAGUUAAUAGAAUCCAAACGAGACCACCGUGAGACUAGGGUGGUGUGGUUUUCCAGAUGUUCUAGUCCGUCCGAAUGACAAAAAGUAUCGGCACAAAACCCCAAAGAAAGGACACAAAUGACGGUAGAAGUGUAAGGGAGUUCUCUCCCGUUACAACUUGUUCCUCGCACGUCGACUGUACAUGUUCGAGUCACGUAUGAAGAACCGGUCUUGCUGUUCACUAGACGGUGAUCUGGAAAAGGAGGGUCAGUAUAAAUACCACUAACAGAUGAAGUACCGUCCGGAGUUUCGUUCACGGUACGCAAAGAAAGAAUCGUACAACUGACAGAAAGAGUCGUAGUAACGACGAGUCCAUACCGUCAGUUUUGACCAAGUCAGUAUGUUAGUUACGGGUACUGUAGAGAAUAUAACGACAAACACUUGAUUCAUUUGGAUCUAUAAAAUAUAAGACUUUCAAAAAAGACAAUAAAUUGGUGCACCGGUGGUAUGUACGUGAUCAAUUUUUUUCUGAAAUAAAACCUAAUUAUUUUGUUUUGCUUGUAGUUUAAGUACAAUUUAUCAUCCGGAGCUUUAUUUAUCUACCGUUCGAUAAAAAAAGGAGCCUUUCUUCGUGUGGCAAAAGAUCAGAUAGUAAAGUAGUCUACACAACGAAUAUUCAUUUCCUUUUACAAAGGAUUAGAUGUACUAUUAUAAUGUGCUACGGAGUUUUCUUGUAAUUGUCACUAAACUUUAGAUACUGAGUUCUUCCUUCAACAUACGUCCCUGAUCCUGACCGUUAACCUCGAUGGGAGAACCUAUAGUUCUUCCGUUGUUGAGAUCGAAGUCAGUGUCAGUACUGUAAGUACGAUCGUCCUCCCAAGAAACAUUUCCACUCUCGUUCAUGGUAAGUGUGGAUAGUUGACUAUAUUUCGACUUAAUAAUGAUGAUGCAUACCUUCCCCGUUCCGACUUAAUAACGAAGAACUUGUUUGUGUACAGAAGUUAGACCGAUAAACGGGAGGAAAAGGGAGACUAGACGUCUCUCAAGGCGGUAAGUAUAGGACCGAGGCCAUGGACAGGAAGUUGAUGGUGUGCAUGUCCGACGACGACUUCCACGUCAUGCUGGGGCACGGCCUGUAGGACUACUGGAGGCAUGGAGACCUAUUGCCGCACUGUCUUCAGCCUCGGGACCAACGCUACUAGUAGCCCAUGGCCCACGACCGGAUGGACAGGGAGUCCGCUCACUUCCGAAGCUUGCCGAUCGUCCAGUUCACUUGGCCUCCCGUGAUCGAGGAUCAAGAAUGGCCGACAAAAACUAACGUACAUCCCUUCAGACAUAAAUAUAAACGCGGUGCUCUUCUACCUAGAAAAAAAGGGGUGACAAGACAGAAAGACGAUGCAGGUCUCGCGCUCUUUACAUGACGGACAACGAUCAAUUGAGCACCUUGUCUAAUCUCUUCACCAUCGUUCACGAUCGGUAAUUGACAGAAGACUUACAACUGUGGUGUACAAAAUUCACUAAUAACCUUACAAUGUCACUUCGGCCGCUGAAGUUUAGGUUUCGGGCUACUGGAGGCACGCGGGUCGCGGCGGCGGCGUUUGGGAGCCAGUACCACCGCCGAGAUGGAGAGGACCAGUGUCUCCAUCGGCGGCUCCAGGCCGUUGUGUGGCUGUUCACUCGAGGUACAUCGUACUUUUUAUGUAUUUUCAACAUCAUCCGUCAGACUGAUACAUGCGAACGAGAUCCGGAUAUUAACAAAACUACCGGGGAAGGGAAGUUUUGGUCAUAUAUCUGAGAAAACGUGUCAAAAUGAAAACUGCCCUUCAAAAUAUCUCAACUAUACUACAACAAAAGUUUGUGACAGGAUCCCUCCGGUUGUAUCGUUCUUGUACCAAAUCGAUCAUGAUCUUAUGUUAGUCGGAACCACCACUUUCUUAGCUUUUUUUUAAUUGAACUCGGCAUCCUAGUCUCUACCUACCGCGUCUACGUUCAAUGUUUUGUAUACGUGGCUGUUCAAAAUCUUGAAUGUGGUCGUUCAAGUUUUUGAAUGAUGGAGACAAAGACUUACAUUCUAGAAAACCGUUAAAUUUAACUUGACGGUUUUCCGGAAUAUAAAUCCUUGUUGCCUAU
This 3986-nucleotide ribosomal RNA is filed under the name Triticum aestivum (bread wheat). Its description in RNAcentral is "partial small subunit ribosomal RNA". Lineage: Eukaryota; Viridiplantae; Streptophyta; Magnoliopsida; Poales; Poaceae. The record is from RNAcentral.